This 1678-nucleotide long non-coding RNA is filed under the name Diabrotica virgifera virgifera (western corn rootworm). Its description in RNAcentral is "uncharacterized LOC126880288". Lineage: Eukaryota; Metazoa; Arthropoda; Insecta; Coleoptera; Chrysomelidae. The record is from RNAcentral.
CGUGUAACAGAUACAACAUUACUUAUAACAUACCAGACAAACUAAGUGACACUUUAGGCCUACAGUGCAAUAAUAUGUCAAAUUUAAAGAGUUUCCCAAGUUCAAUUAAUACAAUAUUAUAAACAUACAAAUGUAAUAAAAAUUAUUGUUCGCGAAUAUUCAAUUUGGAAUGCGAUUUUGUUAAUAAAAAAAAUACUUAUAACUUAUGCAAAACCCAAGAGAGGCAUUUAUAUUUAUUUCUUUUGCGUUCAUUUUCAAAUUCGCCGUGCAUAUAUUUUUGUGCAUGGCGCUUGAGAGGGCAUCACGUGACUAAAAACGACCAACCAACGACCUCGCUUCGGCCAUCUUGGCAUCUUCAUCUUGGCCACCUUGCUUUGCCGUGGGUGGAUCGUUGUUUCUAUUUUUUGUGCUUUUUAAGAAUAUUUUUUUAAUUCGGAUACUUUUAUAAUAGCUUUAAUAGUAUUAUUAACAUAGUGAAUAAAAUGGUGUCCUGUUUUUAACGCAGUUGGAGUAGCAGAAACAAAUGUAGAUAAAAAAAUCUGCAGGAAUAACGUUUCAAUUAUGACAGAAGCUCCAAACAAAUGACUGUGAAUGAAAAGCCCUAUUAAAAGGUUAGUAUGCAAAUAGUAUGUAAACGAAGGCAUGCCCUGUAUUUCAGAAAAUAAAUUAAUACUAUUAAUACCGUAAUAAUACUAUUCAUAAAAAAUCUUUUAAGUAACCUAGAUAUAACAAAGUGAAUAAAAGGCAUAAAUCAGAAGAAUUAUUAUUUUAUUUUAUAAGUUAAUAAUUGGUCAUAUCCAUUUAUUAUUUUAAUAAUAAUUGUGAAUAAGCCACAAACUUUGCUUAUUCCUAACUAAAAUAGUAAAUAGAGAUAAUAACAAUAGGAUUUGUAAAACUAAAGUAAUUCUUUUUGCGUUUUUGCUAAUGUAUGCCUUUAUAAAUAGGAUGGUAGACCACACACUAUAAUAUGCAGUACCAACUAAUGAAUACACAGAAUAUUAUAGUCGAUUUGCUAAACUCAGUCUCAGUACUACUGAGUCUCAGACACAACUGGCUAGUGAUUUUAGUAAAUAAUUUUGCCAAUUUGGUAAAAUUGGCAAAAAAAAAAAAUAAUAACUAAAUAGUUAAUAAUUACUGUAAUUUUGGCAAAAUUGGCCAAAAACAAAAAAAAUUACCUACUAAAAUCACUAGCCAGUUGUGUCAGUUUGGGGAACCGACUAUACUAAUAAACAAUUUCUAAGCUGUUUUAUAAUAUUUUGUGAGUCCAUUAAUCAUAUUUUUUAUUUAAAACUAAAAUUUGUUCAUAAUGCUUAGUAAUGCAUAUAUUUUGUAUUUUUAGCUUUCCAGAAGAUCCUGCGAAGAAGACAUGAAGUAUAGAUCAGAUUUGUUAAUAGAGGAGUAUGUUCAAAACACUUUUUAGAAAAAGAUAUUGACAGAACUUCACUUUCAUCUGUUCGUUUAAGAGACUGUGCUGUUCCAAUAGCUUAUGUCACACAGAAUCAGCUGAGAGAAGUGGUCUACAAAAAACCAGAAAGGAAACGGAAUAUGUGGCUACGAAAAGCAAAAGAAAGGUUUACAAAGCAAAUGUGACACAUUUUUUUAUAAUAUUUAGGAAUGUCAGUAAAUUACAUUAAAAAAUGUAUGUAAAGAUUUUUUGCAAUAAAAAUGUUUAUAUUUA